UACGAAGGGGGCGAGCGUUGUUCGGAAUUACUGGGCGUAAAGGGCGCGUAGGCGGUUUAGCGAGUCAGGCGUGAAAUUCCCGGGCUUAACCUGGGGGCUGCGCUUGAUACUGCUAGGCUUGAAUUCGGGAGAGGAUGGCGGAAUUCCCAGUGUAGAGGUGAAAUUCGUAGAUAUUGGGAAGAACACCGGUGGCGAAGGCGGCCAUCUGGCCCGGGAUUGACGCUGAGGCGCGAAAGCGUGGGGAGCAAACAGG
Molecule: ribosomal RNA, 253 nt
Filed under: uncultured bacterium
Lineage: Bacteria
Description: partial 16S ribosomal RNA
Rfam family: Bacterial small subunit ribosomal RNA
Source: RNAcentral